GAUGAACGCUAGCGGCAGGCUUAACACAUGCAAGUCGAGGGGUAUAGUUCUUCGGAAUUAGAGACCGGCGCACGGGUGCGUAACGCGUAUGCAAUCUACCUUUCACAGAGGGAUAGCCCAGAGAAAUUUGGAUUAAUACCUCAUAGUAUAGCAGUUUCGCAUGAAACCACUAUUAAAGUCACAACGGUGAAAGAUGAGCAUGCGUCCCAUUAGCUAGUUGGUAAGGUAACGGCUUACCAAGGCUACGAUGGGUAGGGGUCCUGAGAGGGAGAUCCCCCACACUGGUACUGAGACACGGACCAGACUCCUACGGGAGGCAGCAGUGAGGAAUAUUGGACAAUGGGCGCAAGCCUGAUCCAGCCAUGCCGCGUGCAGGAAGAAGCAUCUAUGGUGUGUAAACUGCUUUUGUACGGGAAGAAACACUCCUACGUGUAGGAGCUUGACGGUACCGUAAGAAUAAGGAUCGGCUAACUCCGUGCCAGCAGCC
Molecule: ribosomal RNA, 487 nt
Filed under: uncultured bacterium
Lineage: Bacteria
Description: bacterial SSU rRNA
Rfam family: Bacterial small subunit ribosomal RNA
Source: RNAcentral